UCCCUAGUGGUCCAGUGGCUAGGACUCUACACUUCCAAUGCAGGGGGCCUGAGUUCGAUACCUGGUCAGAGAA
RNAcentral lists this transfer RNA (73 nucleotides) under Bos taurus (domestic cattle). It matches the Rfam family "tRNA". From Rfam's summary of the family: Transfer RNA (tRNA) molecules are approximately 80 nucleotides in length. RNAcentral also lists the same sequence under 2 other names. Lineage: Eukaryota; Metazoa; Chordata; Mammalia; Artiodactyla; Bovidae. The record is from Rfam by way of RNAcentral.